UUAACUCAAAUUUGUAUGCAGUUGGAACAGCGCCCCUAGCGGCAAACGUAAGCAACCGUUCCAACUCCAUACAUAUUUCGAGCUA
This is a non-coding RNA of Bombyx mori (domestic silkworm), 85 nucleotides long. The record is from Rfam. NCBI's taxonomy places the organism in Eukaryota, Metazoa, Arthropoda, Insecta, Lepidoptera, Bombycidae.